UACGGAGGGUGCAAGCGUUAAUCGGAAUUACUGGGCGUAAAGCGCGCGUAGGCGGCUCGGUCAGUCGGGUGUGAAAUCCCUGGGCUCAACCUGGGAACUGCAUUCGAUACUGCCGAGCUAGAGUGUGGGAGAGGGUAGCGGAAUUCCCGGUGUAGCGGUGAAAUGCGUAGAUAUCGGGAGGAACAUCAGUGGCGAAGGCGACUGCCUGGCCCAACACUGACGCUGAGGUGCGAAAGCGUGGGUAGCAAACAGG
This 253-nucleotide ribosomal RNA is filed under the name uncultured bacterium. RNAcentral describes it as "partial 16S ribosomal RNA". It matches the Rfam family "Bacterial small subunit ribosomal RNA", at positions 524 to 776 of the family's 1533-position model. The record is from RNAcentral.